Molecule: ribosomal RNA, 253 nt
Filed under: uncultured bacterium
Lineage: Bacteria
Description: partial 16S ribosomal RNA
Rfam family: Bacterial small subunit ribosomal RNA
Source: RNAcentral
UACGAAGGGGGCUAGCGUUGUUCGGAAUCACUGGGCGUAAAGGGUGCGUAGGCGGAUUCUUAAGUCAGGGGUGAAAUCCCGAGGCUCAACCUCGGAACUGCCUUUGAUACUGGGGAUCUUGAGUCCGGAAGAGGUGAGUGGAACUGCGAGUGUAGAGGUGAAAUUCGUAGAUAUUCGGAAGAACACCAGUGGCGAAGGCGGCUAACUGGCCCAUUACUGACGCUGAGGCUCGAAAGCGUGGGGAGCAAACAGG